Molecule: ribosomal RNA, 253 nt
Filed under: uncultured bacterium
Lineage: Bacteria
Description: partial 16S ribosomal RNA
Rfam family: Bacterial small subunit ribosomal RNA
Source: RNAcentral
UACAGAGGGGGCAAGCGUUGUUCGGAAUUACUGGGCGUAAAGGGCGCGUAGGCGGCCUUCUAAGUCGAACGUGAAAUCCCCGGGCUCAACCCGGGAACUGCGUCCGAUACUGGAAGGCUUGAAUCCGGGAGAGGGAUGCGGAAUUCCAGGUGUAGCGGUGAAAUGCGUAGAUAUGACAUAGAACACCAAUUGCGAAGGCAGCUUACUACACGAUCAUUGACACUGAGGCACGAAAGCGUGGGGAGCAAACAGG